UCCGUACUGGUGUAUCGGUAACAUUUCCGCCUCUCAUCUGAUCGCGGUAGCGCAGGGUUCGACUCCCUGGUACGGAA
RNAcentral lists this transfer RNA (77 nucleotides) under Blumeria hordei DH14. RNAcentral describes it as "Blumeria graminis f. sp. hordei DH14 tRNA-Glu". Lineage: Eukaryota; Fungi; Ascomycota; Leotiomycetes; Helotiales; Erysiphaceae. The record is from RNAcentral.